AUACGUAGGGGGCGAGCGUUGUCCGGAAUGAUUGGGCGUAAAGGGCGCGUAGGCGGCCCGGUAAGUCUGGAGUGAAAGUCCUGUUUUUAAGAUGGGAAUUGCUUUGGAUACUGUCGGGCUUGAGUGCAGGAGAGGUAAGUGGAAUUCCCAGUGUAGCGGUGAAAUGCGUAGAGAUUGGGAGGAACACCAGUGGCGAAGGCGACUUACUGGACUGUAACUGACGCUGAGGCGCGAAAGUGUGGGGAGCAAACAGGAUUAGAUACCCUGGUAGUCCACACUGUAAACGAUGAAUGCUAGGUGUAGGGGGUAUCGACCCCUUCUGUGCCGCAGUCAACACAAUAAGCAUUCCGCCUGGGGAGUACGGCCGCAAGGUUAAAACUCAAAGGAAUUGACGGGG
Molecule: ribosomal RNA, 397 nt
Filed under: uncultured bacterium
Lineage: Bacteria
Description: partial 16S ribosomal RNA
Rfam family: Bacterial small subunit ribosomal RNA
Source: RNAcentral